Molecule: long non-coding RNA, 829 nt
Filed under: Hordeum vulgare
Lineage: Eukaryota; Viridiplantae; Streptophyta; Magnoliopsida; Poales; Poaceae
Description: long non-coding RNA (HVUL_LNC013237)
Source: RNAcentral
AAUUCGAACAAAAUCAGUAAUUAUAAAACAACAGUUUGACUACAAAAAUGAGAUCAUGGAAGAAGCAAUAAUAACACUUAUAUGCAUAUAAUGCCUAGAGUGAUACAUCCCUUGUUCCGUGCCCUAGAUUUUAUUUGAAAGACUGUAAUCUUAGUUACAAUAUUCUUGAACCAAAAUACUGAACAUUCAGAUCAUUAACUUCUUAACUGUAUGAAAUAUUUAAACUGUAAUGACCCUUUCUACCCGAAUGUCAUGUCUUCGGAAUUUUGACAUGACAUUUGCCCAAGGUAUACAUCAUCACAAGAAAGUACACCAUACAACAGGUAAUUUGUAAGGAAACUGUUAAGGCCGCGCUUGGAAUUGGUGUAAUUGAAUACCAGUGUAUUUUUCUUACAAGUGUAACUUACAAACGAAGAGCUAUUUUCAGCCGGAAAUCAAAACGACGGGCGGCGGUCUGUAAGUUUUACGGGUGUAAUUGGAAUGAAAACGCUAAUCCAAACAGGCAAUAAUACUGUAUGUAAGAUUAAGCACCGUCGUUUCCUGACCAAAAGAUAAAGCACCAUCCAGAAGGAUAUAGAAAACAUGCUCAAAUGCUAUCUAUAUUACGCGUCAAUGGUUUAAACAGGCCAUUUUCUAAAGAGGGAUUUCACAGUAAACUAAGAACCGCUCUAACCAGUUGUUGUGAUUUUCUAACCAGUUGUUGUUAUGCAUAUUAUUCCUAGAGUGAUACAUCCCUUGUUCCGUGCCCUAGAUUUUAUUUGAAAGACUGUAAUCUUAGUUACAAUAUUCUUGAACCAAAAUACUGAACAUUCAGAUCAUUAACUUCUUA